Molecule: ribosomal RNA, 381 nt
Filed under: uncultured eukaryote
Lineage: Eukaryota
Description: partial 18S ribosomal RNA
Rfam family: Eukaryotic small subunit ribosomal RNA
Source: RNAcentral
CAAUAGCGUAUAUUAAAGCUGUUGCGGUUAAAAAGCUCGUAGUUGGAUUUCUGUCAAGGACAACUGGUCCGCCCUCCGGGUGAGCACAUAGUUUGGUCUUGACAUCUUGCUGGAAGCUGUUGCUGCACUUGGCUGUGUGGCGCAGUGUUCAGCACUUUCACUUUGAGGAAAUUGGAGUGUUUCAAGCAGGCACAUGCCUUUGGACACAGUAGCAUGGAAUAAUUAGAUUGGGCUUUUGCUCCAAUUUGUCGGUUUCUGGAGCUGAGGUGAGUAUUAAUGGGGAUUGUUGGGGGCAUCCGAAUUUAGCCGUCAGAGGUGAAAUUCUUGGAUCUGCUAAAGACGGACAACUGCGAAAGCGUUUGCCAAGGAUGUUUUCAUUAA